This 459-nucleotide ribosomal RNA is filed under the name uncultured bacterium. Its description in RNAcentral is "partial 16S ribosomal RNA". It matches the Rfam family "Bacterial small subunit ribosomal RNA", at positions 338 to 795 of the family's 1533-position model. The record is from RNAcentral.
CCUACGGGUGGCAGCAGUGUGGAAUAUUGGUCAAUGGCCGCAGGGCUGAACCAGCCAAGUCGCGUGAGGGAUGACGGUCCUAUGGAUUGUAAACUUCUUUUGUCAGGGAGCAAAGGGCGCCAUGUGUGGCGUUUUGCGUGUACCUUAAGUAAAAGCAUCGGCUAACUCCGUUCCAGCAGCCCCGGUAAUACGGAGGAUGCGAGCGCUAUCCGGAUUUAUUGGGUUAAAAGGGUGCGCAGGCGGAAUGUAAUGUCAGCGGUAAAAUUUCGGGGCUCAACCCCGUCGUGCCGUUGAAACUGGCGUUCUUGAGUGAGCGAGAGGUAUGCGGAAUGCGUGGUGUAGCGGUGAAAUGCAUAGAUAUCACGCAGAACUCCGAUUGCGAAGGCAGCAAACCGGCGCUCAACUGACGCUCAUGCGCGAAAGCGUGGGUAUCGAACAGGAUUAGAUACCCUAGUAGUC